GAUGAACGCUGGCGGCGUGCCUAAUACAUGCAAGUCGAGCGAACGGACGAGAAGCUUGCUUCACUGAUGUUAGCGACGGACGGGUGAGUAACACGUGGAUAACCUACCUAUAAGACUGGGAUAACUUCGGGAAACCGGAGCUAAUACCGGAUAAUAUUUUGAACCGCAUGGUUCAAAAGUGAAAGACGGUCUUGCUGUCACUUCUAGAUGGAUCCGCGCUGCAUUAGCUAGUUGGUAAGGUAACGGCUUACCAAGGCAACGAUGCAUAGCCGACCUGAGAGGGUGAUCGGCCACACUGGAACUGAGACACGGUCCAGACUCCGACGGGAGGCAGCAGUAGGGAAGCUUCCGCAAUGGGCGAAAGCCUGACGGAGCAACGCCGCGUGAGUGAUGAAGGGCUUCGGAUCGUAAAACUCUGUUAUUAGGGAAGAACAUAUGUGUAAGUAACUGUGCACAUCUUGACGGUACCUAAUCAGAAAGCCACGGCUAACUACGUG
Molecule: ribosomal RNA, 497 nt
Filed under: uncultured bacterium
Lineage: Bacteria
Description: partial 16S ribosomal RNA
Rfam family: Bacterial small subunit ribosomal RNA
Source: RNAcentral